This is a long non-coding RNA of Apodemus sylvaticus (European woodmouse), 871 nucleotides long. RefSeq lists it as uncharacterized. Lineage: Eukaryota; Metazoa; Chordata; Mammalia; Rodentia; Muridae. The transcript is spliced from 3 exons. The record is from RefSeq and is a predicted model, not a curated record.
GGUCUACUCCGAAUGCCUACAGUGUGUCAGGUUCUUAGACAAAUGCAACACCCCUACCAUCUAUGACAAUGCAGACAGCAGAGAUGAUUCUUUGCUGUGUGUGAAUCCCAUCUCCAGAAAAUCCCCAGGAGGUCCCAAGGCUUCUGUACCUAAAGCUGUAAGUUAGGAUGGAAACAGCCUAUUAUCAACUGAAUGUUUGUGGUCCUCCUCCAAAUUCAGAUUGAAAGUAUAGCCACCACUGCGGUAAUGCUGGGCACGUGAUCUUUGGUCUAUAUAAUUAGAUUGGGUUCAUAAGGGUAAAGCCUUUCUGACAGCUGUCAGGAAGAGGGAGCAGCCAGUCACAAGAGCUGCUGGACCUGUCUUCCCAUCAUCCAACUGUGAGAAAUAGCUGAUCUAGCUACCUCGUCUACAGGACCCUGAAGCAGCAGACCAAGCCAGCGAUAUACAAGAGCUCUGAUUUCUCCACAUCGUCUCUGAACUUACCGCUGCCUGGGGUUUCUGUGAGAGCUGUCCUAAUGAGUGGGGAUUGAUACCUCAUUAGAAUGGAGCUCAACUUUGAAGAUGAAUGAAAAGGAAAACAAAGACACUCAAGUAACUAAGGAGGAAAAAAAAGUGACUUCUUCCCCUAAAAUGAGUUUGAGAAGAAGGAAAGUCUUUUUUCACAGAGAAGGUGUGAGACCGCAUGCCCCAUUCAUACUGAGUGCAAAUGAAUGAAGAAUGAUCUCCCACCCAGACAUUCUGGGUGCAAAUGAAUGAAUGAUACUGGUGCUCUCCCAGUCAACUAAACUCCAUCCAGACACACACACACCAAUACAAAUUCAAAUAAGUUGCCAAAUAAAAUGCAUAUAGCUCUCAAUGUCUAUUGAAUGGA